CUCCUGAUUAGUUGAGUGUAGUUACCGUCAAUUGUGAACCCUAUCUAUUAAUCAGCACGUGCUUUUGGAAUAGCUAGUUUGCGUCUCAAUCCACAAAUAAUAUAACGAUACAGAUGGCGGGAGAAAGGGGGGAUGUUGUUGGAUUGUUGACUAUCUAUUAGGUUCAGUUUCCUGCCCCCAUGAUAAUAGGCCUAGGAGACUGAUAAAUCUAAUUGGGUGAGCCCCAAUAAGUUGAAUAGGACUGCAAUUCAUAAUAGAGCUAACGUCCAGAUGAGUUGAACCUGUAA
Molecule: long non-coding RNA, 287 nt
Filed under: Ananas comosus (pineapple)
Lineage: Eukaryota; Viridiplantae; Streptophyta; Magnoliopsida; Poales; Bromeliaceae
Description: long non-coding RNA (ACOM_LNC044863)
Source: RNAcentral